Non-coding RNA from Aedes aegypti (yellow fever mosquito), 117 nucleotides. NCBI's taxonomy places the organism in Eukaryota, Metazoa, Arthropoda, Insecta, Diptera, Culicidae. The record is from Rfam.
UGCCCAGCAACUCCUAUCCCUACCUCUUCGCGGUACUGGCCAGGGUACAAGUAACCUUAAGGAAGAUCGGGUAACCAACCCCCGGUGGGAACUUUGGUCUUAUGCUGACAGGGAAGG